Molecule: long non-coding RNA, 205 nt
Filed under: Setaria viridis
Lineage: Eukaryota; Viridiplantae; Streptophyta; Magnoliopsida; Poales; Poaceae
Description: long non-coding RNA (SVIR_LNC004387)
Source: RNAcentral
UCUGGAGUAGGUCCAGCUUUAGCCUUGGGCGCUAGGUUUGGCUUGGACACUCCAGCCUUGCCCUUCUUCUUCCAAGAAUUGCCCUUCUUCUUAAAGGUAGGCUUGUUCUGUACAGCCAUCACAUGGCUGGUACUAGCGCUUUUCUUAAUGUCUACCUCUGCUAUCUUGAGCAUACCACACAGUUCAUUCAGACCCUUCUCCGUCC